This 77-nucleotide transfer RNA is filed under the name Amylibacter sp. Its description in RNAcentral is "tRNA-Arg". It matches the Rfam family "tRNA". From Rfam's summary of the family: Transfer RNA (tRNA) molecules are approximately 80 nucleotides in length. Their secondary structure includes four short double-helical elements and three loops (D, anti-codon, and T loops). Further hydrogen bonds mediate the characteristic L-shaped molecular structure. tRNAs have two regions of fundamental functional importance: the anti-codon, which is responsible for specific mRNA codon recognition, and the 3' end, to which the tRNAs corresponding amino acid is attached (by aminoacyl-tRNA synthetases). tRNAs cope with the degeneracy of the genetic code in two manners: having more than one tRNA (with a specific anti-codon) for a particular amino acid; and 'wobble' base-pairing, i.e. permitting non-standard base-pairing at the 3rd anti-codon position. The record is from RNAcentral. Lineage: Bacteria; Pseudomonadati; Pseudomonadota; Alphaproteobacteria; Rhodobacterales; Paracoccaceae.
GGCUCUGUGGCUCAACUGGAUAGAGCAGCCCCCUCCUAAGGGGCAGGUUGGUGGUUCGAGUCCACCCAGAGUCACCA